RNAcentral lists this ribosomal RNA (468 nucleotides) under uncultured bacterium. RNAcentral's name for it is "partial 16S ribosomal RNA". It matches the Rfam family "Bacterial small subunit ribosomal RNA", at positions 28 to 507 of the family's 1533-position model. The record is from RNAcentral.
GACGAACGCUGGCGGCGUGCUUAACACAUGCAAGUCGAACGGAAAGGCCCUGCUUUUGUGGGGUGCUCGAGUGGCGAACGGGUGAGUAACACGUGAGUAACCUGCCCUUGACUUUGGGAUAACUUCAGGAAACUGGGGCUAAUACCGGAUAGGAGCUCCUGCUGCAUGGUGGGGGUUGGAAAGUUUCGGCGGUUGGGGAUGGACUCGCGGCUUAUCAGCUUGUUGGUGGGGUAGUGGCUUACCAAGGCUUUGACGGGUAGCCGGCCUGAGAGGGUGGCCGGCCACAUUGGGACUGAGAUACGGCCCAGACUCCUACGGGAGGCGGCAGUGGGGAAUAUUGCACAAUGGGCGGAAGCCUGAUGCAGCAACGCCGCGUGCGGGAUGACGGCCUUCGGGUUGUAAACCGCUUUCGCCUGUGACGAAGCGUGAGUGACGGUAAUGGGUAAAGAAGCACCGGCUAACUACGUG